Molecule: ribosomal RNA, 254 nt
Filed under: uncultured prokaryote
Description: partial 16S ribosomal RNA
Rfam family: Bacterial small subunit ribosomal RNA
Source: RNAcentral
ACGAACCGUGCGAACGUUAUUCGGAAUCACAGGGCUUAAAGCGCGUGUAGGCGGGACGGCACGUCGGUCGCUGAAAUCCCCCGGCUUAACCGGGGAACUGGCGUCGAUACGACCGUCCUGGAGGGGCGUAGGGGGACCUGGAACUUCCGGUGGAGCGGUGAAAUGCGUUGAGAUCGGAAGGAACGCCCGUGGCGAAAGCGAGGUCCUGGACGCCUACUGACGCUGAGACGCGAAAGCCAGGGGAGCGAACGGGA